RNAcentral lists this non-coding RNA (777 nucleotides) under Mesophleps albilinella. Lineage: Eukaryota; Metazoa; Arthropoda; Insecta; Lepidoptera; Gelechiidae. The record is from RNAcentral.
AAAAUAAUUUAUUAUGGUUAAUAAAAUUUAUUUUAAAUUUAUUUUACAUAUAAAUUUUAGUGUGAAAUUUUUAUUAUUUUAAAAAUAAUUAAUUUAAAAAUGUAGUAAUUUAUAUUGAAAAUUUAAGAAAUUAAGAUUUAGUAAUAUAAAAAUUAAUAACAAAUUUUGUGCCAGCAGUUGCGGUUAUACAAAAAUUAAAUUAAAUUUUUUUAGAAAUUAAUUAAUAAUAAAUUAAAUUAAAUUAAAUAUUUUAUUAUUAAGUGAAAUUUUAAUAAAAUUAAAUUUUAAAAAAAAUUAUGAAUUAAUAAGUUAUAAUUUAAACUAGGAUUAGAUACCCUAUUAUUAAUAAAAUAAAAAAAUUAUGCUAAAAUAGUAGAUAAUUAUUUAUUGAAACUUAAAUAAAUUGGCGGUAUUUUAGUUCAUUUAGAGGAAUCUGUUUAAUAAUUGAUAAUUCACGAAUAAAUUUACUUAAUUUUUUAUUUUGUAUAUCGUUGUUAAAAAAAUAUUUUUAAAAAAAAAUAAUAUUUUAAAAUUAAAAUUUAAAUUAAAUCAGAUCAAGAUGCAGAUUAUAAUUAAGAAUAAUAUGGAUUACAAUAAAUUUAUUUAUAAUGAAUAUUUAUUUGUAAAAAUAAAUUGAAGGUGGAUUUAAAUGUAAUUUUAUAUAAUUUUAUAAAAUGAUUAGAAAUUAAAAUAUGUACAUAUUGCCCGUCGCUUUCAUAAAUAAGUUGAAAUAAGUCGUAACAAAGUAGAGGUACUGGAAAGUGUUUCUAGAAAGAU